This 253-nucleotide ribosomal RNA is filed under the name uncultured bacterium. RNAcentral's name for it is "partial 16S ribosomal RNA". It matches the Rfam family "Bacterial small subunit ribosomal RNA", at positions 524 to 776 of the family's 1533-position model. The record is from RNAcentral.
UACGUAGGGGGCGAGCGUUGUCCGGAUUUAUUGGGCGUAAAGAGCGUGUAGGCGGCCAGGUAGGUCUGCUGUGAAAACUCGAGGCUCAACCUCGAGACGUCGGCGGAAACCAUCUGGCUAGAGUCCGGAAGAGGAGAGUGGAAUUCCUGGUGUAGCGGUGAAAUGCGCAGAUAUCGGGAAGAACACCCGUGGCUAAGGCGGCUCUCUAGUACGGUACUGACGCUGAGACGCGAAAGCGUGGGGAGCGAACAGG